RNAcentral lists this ribosomal RNA (273 nucleotides) under uncultured bacterium. RNAcentral describes it as "partial 16S ribosomal RNA". It matches the Rfam family "Bacterial small subunit ribosomal RNA", at positions 524 to 796 of the family's 1533-position model. The record is from RNAcentral.
UACGUAGGGGGCUAGCGUUGUCCGGAAUCAUUGGGCGUAAAGCGCGCGUAGGCGGCCCGGUAAGUCCGUUGUAAAAGUCAAAGGCUCAACCUUUGAAUGCCGAUGGAAACUGCCGGGCUAGAGUCCGGAAGAGGCGAGUAGAAUUCCUGGUGUAGCGGUGGAAUGCGCAGAUAUCAGGAGGAAUACCCAUAGCGAAGGCAGCUCGCUGGGACGGUACUGACGCUGAGGCGCGAAAGCGUGGGGAGCGAACAGGAUUAGAAACCCGAGUAGUCC